RNAcentral lists this ribosomal RNA (440 nucleotides) under uncultured bacterium. Its description in RNAcentral is "partial 16S ribosomal RNA". It matches the Rfam family "Bacterial small subunit ribosomal RNA", at positions 338 to 795 of the family's 1533-position model. The record is from RNAcentral.
CCUACGGGUGGCAGCAGUGGGGAAUAUUGCACAAUGGGGGAAACCCUGAUGCAGCGACGCCGCGUGAGUGAAGAAGUAAUUCGUUAUGUAAAGCUCUAUCAGCAGGGAAGAAAAUGACGGUACCUGAGCAAGAAGCCCCGGCUAACUACGUGCCAGCAGCCGCGGUAAUACGUAGGGGGCAAGCGUUAUCCGGAUUUACUGGGUGUAAAGGGAGCGUAGACGGCAGUGCAAGUCUGGAGUGAAAGGCGGGGGCGCAACCCCGGGACUGCUCUGGAAACUGUACGGCUGGAGUGCAGGAGAGGUAAGUGGAAUUCCUAGUGUAGCGGUGAAAUGCGUAGAUAUUAGGAGGAACACCAGCGGCGAAGGCGGCUUACUGGACUGUAACUGACGUUGAGGCUCGAAAGCGUGGGGAGCAAACAGGAUUAGAUACCCGAGUAGUC